RNAcentral lists this ribosomal RNA (460 nucleotides) under uncultured bacterium. RNAcentral describes it as "partial 16S ribosomal RNA". It matches the Rfam family "Bacterial small subunit ribosomal RNA", at positions 338 to 795 of the family's 1533-position model. The record is from RNAcentral.
CCUACGGGAGGCAGCAGUGAGGAAUAUUGGUCAAUGGCCGUAAGGCUGAACCAGCCAAGUCGCGUGAGGGAUGAAUGCCCUAUGGUUUGUAAACCUCUUUUAUGCGGGGAUAAAGUUGUCAACGUGUGGCUGUUUGUAGGUACCGCAUGAAUAAGGACCGGCUAAUUCCGUGCCAGCAGCCGCGGUAAUACGGAGGGUCCGGGCGUUAUCCGGGUUUAUUGGGUUUAAAGGGUGCGUAGGACGGUCGUUAAGUGAGCCGUGAAAUUUUGGGGCUCAACCAUUAGAUUGCGGGGGGAACUGGAGACCUUGAGUACACGUGAGGCAGGCGGAAUGCGUGGUGUAGCGGUGAAAUGCUUAGAUAUCACGAAGAACCCCGAUUGCGAAGGCAGCCUGCCGCAGCGUUACUGACGCUGAAGCACGAAAGCGCGGGUAUCGAACAUGAUUAGAUACCCCAGUAGUC